Molecule: ribosomal RNA, 450 nt
Filed under: uncultured bacterium
Lineage: Bacteria
Description: partial 16S ribosomal RNA
Rfam family: Bacterial small subunit ribosomal RNA
Source: RNAcentral
GUCGAGAAUAAUUCACAAUGGACGAAAGUCUGAUGGUGCAACGCCGCGUGGAGGAUGAAGGUCUUCGGAUUGUAAACUCCUGUCAUCGGGGAGUAAGACCUGGCGGUAAAUAGCCGACAGGGUUGAUAGUACCCGAAGAGGAAGGGACGGCUAACUUCGUGCCAGCAGCCGCGGUAAUACGAAGGUCCCAAGCGUUGUUCGGAAUCACUGGGCGUAAAGGGAGCGUAGGCGGCGUGGUAAGUCAGAUGUGAAAUCCCGGGGCUCAACCCCGGAACUGCAUCCGAUACUGCCAUGCUUGAGGGUUGGAGAGGUAGCUGGAAUUCUCGGUGUAGCAGUGAAAUGCGUGGAUAUCGAGAGGAACACUCGUGGCGAAGGCGAGCUACUGGACAACAUCUGACGCUGAGGCUCGAAGGCCAGGGGAGCAAAAGGGAUUAGAUACCCGGGUAGUCC